GGGGAUAUAGCUCAGCUGGGAGAGCGCCUGCCUUGCACGCAGGAGGUCAGCGGUUCGAUCCCUUAUCUCCACCA
RNAcentral lists this transfer RNA (74 nucleotides) under Mannheimia haemolytica. RNAcentral describes it as "tRNA-Ala". It matches the Rfam family "tRNA". Rfam says of the family: Transfer RNA (tRNA) molecules are approximately 80 nucleotides in length. The record is from RNAcentral. Lineage: Bacteria; Pseudomonadati; Pseudomonadota; Gammaproteobacteria; Pasteurellales; Pasteurellaceae.